This is a long non-coding RNA of Arvicanthis niloticus (Nile rat), 1555 nucleotides long. RefSeq lists it as uncharacterized. The record is from RefSeq and is a predicted model, not a curated record. Lineage: Eukaryota; Metazoa; Chordata; Mammalia; Rodentia; Muridae.
ACACUGUUCUGCCAAUCAUAUUGUGCCUACUUCCUGUGUCUCUAUUCUGCCCCUGAAAACUGUUUUAAGAGCUCACUGAACUGAGCUGCGCGGGGUCGGCGGCGCCCCUCCUUCGGGUGCAGGACGAUCCCAACGCCUUGGAACGAUAAAUUCCUCUUGCUUUUUGCAUGGUUCACUCAGGGGGUCCCCGGUAAGCUAAGGCUCGGCAGAGUUUUACACUGGAAGGGCCACGAAGACUUCACCUCAGCCCCCAAGGAGUUCAAGAAGAUGCCCUAGGAACCCUCAGAAAACGUCACGCCGGGCGGUUUUCACUCAUCCCUCACUGUUGGGUCUCUAGAACAAACUCGGUCGCACACCACUUGCUUGACCAGAUCCAAGCAAAACUGAAGACUCCACCCUGGGGAUUUUAUCACUAGGAUCCAAAAGAGUUUUCAGGACUGUGAUGGCUGUUGUUCAUUGUCAACUUGACUAAAUCUGGAAUCAGCUACAACCCAGAAAUGGAGAACACACCUAUGAGAGAUUGUCUGCUUAAAGUAGAUAAAUCCACUUCUAGUCCAGACCUUUGAGGUAGGAAGACACACACCUUUAAUCCAUAUCUUGAUGUGGGAAGACACAGACCUUUAAUUUGAAUCUUGAGGUGGGAAGACACCAAAUCUUUAAUCUAAAUCUUGAGGUAUGUCCAGGAAAGACAUACCUUUAAUAUGAGCCAUACUUUCAGCUGGACAUCUAUAUAAGGACAUAGAAUAAGGAAGCUUUUGCUCUUUAUCUACUCGCCCUCACCUUGCUAGCACAUCCAUUCCUUCAUUGGCAUUAGAGCCUACUUCCGGAUUGCAGCAUAUACUGAAGACCAGCUGAGACAUGCAGCCUCGUGGGAUUGAGCAACAUUUUUAGACUUUCUGUUCAUAGCUAGCCAUUGUUGGACUAGCUGGACUGCAGGAAAAAGAGAGACUCGUUUCAUAAGUUCUGUGACUCUAGAGAACCUUGACUAAUAAAGAUUUUGGUACCAGAAGUGGUUCUAGAGAAACCAAAGUAUAAAGAUGGAUAUUUUAAGUAUCUGGAAUAGGCAUUUCAAUUCGCCAGCACCUUCAGCUACUGAAGCCUCUCCAGUCACCCCCUCUCCUGAGAGCUCAGAGAGUACUGAAAGUCCAUGGUGUGAACUGUAUUACAAACUUAAAGAGAUAAAUGAAUUUGAUUAUCCUGACUCACCAAUUGUGAACAACAAUGGAUUAGGUGACACUGUAUAUGAAACUUUUGACAGUUUGGGGGAAAAUAAGAGCAAUGAUGCUGCUGGUUGGUUCCUUUUAGCAUCUCUGGAUAAACUGUUAAAGGAUAGGAAUGAGCUCCGGGAUAAAAUUAACCAACUUCAGAAUAUGGUGAAGAACAGCAAAGAAGUUAGUGAUAAAAUUGACCAUCUCCAAAUGCUCAUAAACAAUCUAAAGGUUUCUAAAUGUGCCCUGGAAGAGAAUCUUCUCUCCAGCAGCCACGAAGCUCGAUUUAUGGAAAAUCAAACUGAAGCUCUCAUUGUAAGGUUAGCUGAAUCACAGGGAAAAUUCAA